RNAcentral lists this ribosomal RNA (226 nucleotides) under uncultured Actinomycetales bacterium. Its description in RNAcentral is "partial 16S ribosomal RNA". It matches the Rfam family "Bacterial small subunit ribosomal RNA", at positions 105 to 334 of the family's 1533-position model. The record is from RNAcentral. Lineage: Bacteria; Bacillati; Actinomycetota; Actinomycetes; Actinomycetales.
GGUGAGUAACACGUGGGUGAUCUGCCCUGCACUUCGGGAUAAGCUUGGGAAACUGGGUCUAAUACCGGAUAGGAGCCAUCUUUAGUGUGGUGGUUGGAAAGUUUUUUCAGUGUAGGAUGAGCUCGCGGCCUAUCAGCUUGUUGGUGGGGUAAUGGCCUACCAAGGCGGCGACGGGUAGCCGGCCUGAGAGGGUGUACGGCCACAUUGGGACUGAGAUACGGCCCAG